GAUGAAGAACGUAGUGAAACGCGAUAUGUAAUGUGAAUUGCAGAAUUCAGUGAAUCAUCGAAUCUUUGAACGCACAUGGCGCCUUCCAGUAUCCUGGGAGGCAUGCCUGUCCGAGCGUCGUUUCAACCCUCGAGCCCCCGUGGCCCGGCGUUGGGGAUCUGCCACGGCAGGCCCCUAAAACCAGUGGCGGACCCGAAGGCCCUCUCCUUUGCGCAGUAGCAUCAGCCUCGCAUUGGGAUCCCUCGGCGUCCUGCCUCUAGACCCCCCACAAGUCCGCUCCGGCGGCACCAAGGUUGACCUCGGAUCAGGUAGGAAUACCCGCUGAACUUAAGCAUAUCAAUAAGCGGAGGA
This 351-nucleotide unclassified non-coding RNA is filed under the name soil metagenome. Its description in RNAcentral is "partial contains 5.8S ribosomal RNA, internal transcribed spacer 2, and large subunit ribosomal RNA". The stretch from base 1 to 120 matches the Rfam family "5.8S ribosomal RNA", at positions 35 to 154 of the family's 154-position model. The record is from RNAcentral.